CCUCGCGGCUUCGUGCCGAGGCCUCCUCCUCCCCCAGCUCUCCCCUCUUACCUGACUGAAGAGGGCG
RNAcentral lists this non-coding RNA (67 nucleotides) under Palpitomonas bilix. The record is from RNAcentral.